AGGGCACCACCAGGGGUGGAGCCUGCGGCUUAAUUUGACUCAACACGGGGAAACUCAUCCGGUCCGGACACCGUGAGGAUUGACAGAUUGAGAGCUCUUUCUUGAUUUGGUGGGCAGUGGUGCAUGGCCGUUCUUAGUUGGUGGAGUGAUUUGUCUGGUUUAUUCCGAUAACGAACGAGACUCUGGCCUACUAACUAGUUGCGCGAUUGAGGAGUCGUGCCAACUUCUUAGAGGGACAAGCGGUGCUCAGCCGCAUGAAAAAGAGCAAUAACAGGUCUGUGAUGCCCUUCGAUGUUCGGAGCUGCACGCGCGCUACACUGUGAGUGGCAGCAUGUUAGCUUGCCUCGCUCGCAAGAGUGGGGUAAUCGGUUGAAAAUCUCACGUGAUUGGGAUAGGGACUUGUAAUUAUUUCCCUUGAACGAGGAAUCCCUAGUAAGUGCAGGUCAUCAGCUUGCGCUGAUUACGUCCCUGCCCUUUGURCACACCGCCCGUCGCUGCCCGGAACUGAAGCAUCUCGAG
Molecule: ribosomal RNA, 519 nt
Filed under: uncultured eukaryote
Lineage: Eukaryota
Description: SSU rRNA
Rfam family: Eukaryotic small subunit ribosomal RNA
Source: RNAcentral